This 76-nucleotide transfer RNA is filed under the name Gammaproteobacteria bacterium HGW-Gammaproteobacteria-1. RNAcentral describes it as "tRNA-Glu". It matches the Rfam family "tRNA". Rfam says of the family: Transfer RNA (tRNA) molecules are approximately 80 nucleotides in length. Their secondary structure includes four short double-helical elements and three loops (D, anti-codon, and T loops). Lineage: Bacteria; Pseudomonadati; Pseudomonadota; Gammaproteobacteria. The record is from RNAcentral.
GCACCCAUCGUCUAGCGGUCCAGGACGCCAGGUUUUCAACCUGGCUACAGGGGUUCGAUUCCCCUUGGGUGUACCA